This 253-nucleotide ribosomal RNA is filed under the name uncultured bacterium. RNAcentral describes it as "partial 16S ribosomal RNA". It matches the Rfam family "Bacterial small subunit ribosomal RNA", at positions 524 to 776 of the family's 1533-position model. The record is from RNAcentral.
UACGUAGGGGGCGAGCGUUGUCCGGAGUUACUGGGCGUAAAGAGCGCGCAGGCGGCCUGAUCAGUCGAAUGUGAAAGCCCCCGGCUUAACUGGGGAGGGUCAUUCGAUACUGUCAGGCUCGAAGGCAGGAGAGGGAAGCGGAAUUCCCGGUGUAGUGGUGAAAUGCGUAGAUAUCGGGAGGAACACCAGUGGCGAAGGCGGCUUUCUGGCCUGUUCUUGACGCUGAGGCGCGAAAGCCAGGGGAGCGAACGGG